Molecule: non-coding RNA, 234 nt
Filed under: Acidovorax sp. 12322-1
Lineage: Bacteria; Pseudomonadati; Pseudomonadota; Betaproteobacteria; Burkholderiales; Comamonadaceae
Also listed under: 1 other name
Source: RNAcentral
GAAUCCACGCUGAUUUCUGGUGCUCGCGUGGCCGUUCAGGCCAUGCUGAUAAACGAGAAACAUGGAGGUUCUGCGCUCUACAGCGCCUUACCUUGCAUGUACUGCCCCCGCAACAGUGUGUGCACAGGUCGCAAGACCAGCCUGUCGUUCCACAGCCACUGAAGCCUCGUGCUUUGGGAAGGCUUCGACAGUCGGUGCAUCAGUCUGGAUACCGGCCAGAAAUUGGUUCGAGGC